Labrus bergylta (ballan wrasse) is the source of this 374-nucleotide non-coding RNA. The record is from RefSeq and is a predicted model, not a curated record. Lineage: Eukaryota; Metazoa; Chordata; Actinopteri; Labriformes; Labridae.
GGAGACCAUAGGUUGCGUCUGGUGGAGGGAGAGUGAGCGGGGCUGCCCUGAAUGGAUUGACAUUAGAGGGAUUUACAUUUUUAACGGGUGUCGUGCUCCGUGAAGAACAACACGGUGCACGUUGUAAAAAAAAAAAACAACCAAUUUCGCCUGAUGUUUGUCCAUGUUGGUGCUUUUAUCAUGUGCAUGUGUCAUCAUCGUCGUGAGAGGAUUGAACUUGCCAGCAGCAGUCUAUAUUUGUCGAGGAGGGAAACCAAUACAAGGUCUCGCUGUCUUGCUGGAGCGGAGUAUUAUUAGCAGUUCAGACAGUGCAACUGUCUCUCUGGUCAUGCACUGGAAUUGCAGGAUGACUUCAUAAUCCCCGUCCCCCCCCC